Molecule: non-coding RNA, 269 nt
Organism: Rattus norvegicus (Norway rat)
Lineage: Eukaryota; Metazoa; Chordata; Mammalia; Rodentia; Muridae
Source: Rfam
UGGCCCCCAACGUGUGGGGCCUGAAUACAGGGGAUUCCAUGAGGAAGAAGACUCAGGUGGCCGGCGUUGUAUAUAAAAAUUCCUUCAAACACUGUGGGAGCCUGCUGCAGCCAAAAUAUAUGUGAGUGAUAGAGUCUGAUUAUGGGACAAGCAUUAAGCCAACACUGCAUCUAUGUGAGACACUUAAAAGAGGCAUUAAGAGUGCUAGGUGUAAUGGUAAAACCAAUGAUUUAUUUAAUUUUUUGAUUUUGUUAAGGACCUUUGCCCUU